This 72-nucleotide transfer RNA is filed under the name Pelecanus crispus (Dalmatian pelican). It matches the Rfam family "tRNA". From Rfam's summary of the family: Transfer RNA (tRNA) molecules are approximately 80 nucleotides in length. Their secondary structure includes four short double-helical elements and three loops (D, anti-codon, and T loops). Lineage: Eukaryota; Metazoa; Chordata; Aves; Pelecaniformes; Pelecanidae. The record is from Rfam by way of RNAcentral.
ACUGAUUUAGCUCAGUUGGUUAGAGCGUGGUGCUAAUAACGCCAAGGUCACAGGUUCAAUCCCUGCUCACUG